This 421-nucleotide ribosomal RNA is filed under the name uncultured bacterium. Its description in RNAcentral is "bacterial SSU rRNA". It matches the Rfam family "Bacterial small subunit ribosomal RNA", at positions 356 to 774 of the family's 1533-position model. The record is from RNAcentral.
GGGGAAUUUUGGACAAUGGGCGCAAGCCUGAUCCAGCCAUGCUGCGUGCAGGAAGAAGCAUCUAUGGUGUGUAAACUGCUUUUGUACGGGAAGAAACACUCCUUCGUGAAGGAGCUUGACGGUACCGUAAGAAUAAGGAUCGGCUAACUCCGUGCCAGCAGCCGCGGUAAUACGGAGGAUCCAAGCGUUAUCCGGAAUCAGUGGGUUUAAAGGGUCCGUAGGCGGUCUAAUAAGUCAGUGGUGAAAGCCCAUCGCUCACCGAUGAAACGGCCAUUGAUACUGUUAGACUUGAAUUACAAGGAAGUAACUAGAAUAUGUCGUGUGGCGUUGAAGUGCUUUGUUAUUACAUGGAAUACCAAUUGCGAAGGCAGGUUACUACUUGUGGAUUUACGCUAAUGGACGAAGGCGUGGGGAGCGAACA